CGCGCAGGCAGUCGCGCAAGUCGGUUGUGAAAUCCCCUGGCUUACCCAGGGAACUGCAUCCGAUACUGCGUGACUUGAGUCCGGGAGAGGAGAGUGGAAUUCCCAGUGUAGCGGUGGAAUGCGUAGAUAUUGGGAGGAACACCAGUGGCGAAGGCGGCUCUCUGGACCGGUACUGACGCUGAGGCGCGAAAGCUAGGGGAGCAAACA
This 207-nucleotide ribosomal RNA is filed under the name uncultured bacterium. RNAcentral describes it as "partial 16S ribosomal RNA". It matches the Rfam family "Bacterial small subunit ribosomal RNA", at positions 568 to 774 of the family's 1533-position model. The record is from RNAcentral.